GUAGGUGGCAAGCGUUGUCCGGAUUUACUGGGCGUAAAGGGCGUGCAGGCGGUCUGUUAAGUCUAGGGUGAAAGCUCCCGGCUCAACUGGGAGAGGUCCUUGGAUACUGGCAGACUUGAGGAGAGUAGAGGAGAGUGGAAUUCCCGGUGUAGUGGUGAUAUGCGUAGAUAUCGGGAGGAACACCAGUGGCGAAGGCGGCUCUCUGGGCUCUACCUGACGCUGAGACGCGAAAGCGUGGGGAGCGAACCGGAUUAGAUACCCGGGUAGUCCACGCCGUAAACUAUGGACACUAGGUGUGGGGGGUAUCGACCCCUUCCGUGCCGAAGCUAACGCAGUAAGUGUCCCGCCUGGGGAGUACGGCCGCAAGGCUA
RNAcentral lists this ribosomal RNA (371 nucleotides) under uncultured bacterium. Its description in RNAcentral is "bacterial SSU rRNA". It matches the Rfam family "Bacterial small subunit ribosomal RNA", at positions 527 to 896 of the family's 1533-position model. The record is from RNAcentral.